This is a long non-coding RNA of Lontra canadensis (Northern American river otter), 694 nucleotides long. RefSeq lists it as uncharacterized. NCBI's taxonomy places the organism in Eukaryota, Metazoa, Chordata, Mammalia, Carnivora, Mustelidae. The record is from RefSeq and is a predicted model, not a curated record. The transcript is spliced from 4 exons.
CAGGAAGCUGUCUGCAAAUUCAGGUAGCUUUUCUGACUCUUAAUGAGGUCUUGAAUAUUCUUUCAGAGAAAUGCCAGCAAAAACUGUAGUCAUUUGGGGAAGAAUAAGUCUGGAAGAAAAAUACACAGAGGACUAGCACCAAGAGGUCCACAGCUCACGAUGAUGACAAUCCUGAGGAUACAGGAAAAUUAUUUCCCAUGCAAGAAGAAGAAACUAUCUGAAGAAGAGAGAAGAGUGUGCCAUGACAUCAAAAAAGAAAAAAAGGUAGAGAAAUGGAGAACAGGAUAAAGGCCUGGAAUCCCCUGCUCCAGAAAGGGCAUGAGUAUGCUUUCCUAAAUACAGAAUUCUACUUUCGAAGACGUGAUCACUACAGUCUGAAGUCAGAAAAUGAGACCAACAGAUCAUCUUCAGGCCAUCCUGGGGUCUGUCAGUAAACUGAAAGUAACUGAACGAAGAGAGGAAUCUCCAAGAGAGGCCAGGGGACAGCCACCAGCCCACCACUACAGAGAAUUUCAGAGCUAAGCCACUCACAGAAAAAAAAAAAAGUUCAACCACAGGGCGGAUGUGCUGCUUUUCACACCCAAGUCAUUUAUUUGAAAAGCAAAGGCAGUAAAUUCUUGAAGCCCUCACUAUGUUAUGAUUACUCCAGGAGAAAAGAGAAGAUAAAAGAGAGACACUGAGCUUUCCCUCCCAG